ACCGAAUAAAAAAAGAGAAGCAGUCUUGAAAAUCCCAUCGCGAUUGCGUCUCUCUCCUCUGUGAAAACUUUUAUCUAUGAAGGUUUAUGCAGAGAUACACGCGUUUAUAGGGAAGAAGAAGAAAACAUUAAUAUAUUGUUGAAUUGAAGUGAGACUCUUUGAAUUUUCUGCAUUAUCAAUUGAAUCAAGAUUUUAAUAUUAAUAUUUAUAACGCAAAUUGUUGGUAUAUAUGCAGGGCAUUUUGGGACGUGAAUUGGUCAGGGCUCCCUGGAAACUGAUACAUCAAAUAUCAUUAAGGGUAAAUGAGGAAAUAUAGGGACAAGCGUUUACAGGCAAGCUAUUUGUAUCUCUCUUUUUU
This 358-nucleotide long non-coding RNA is filed under the name Theobroma cacao (cacao). Its description in RNAcentral is "long non-coding RNA (TCAC_LNC004105)". The record is from RNAcentral. Lineage: Eukaryota; Viridiplantae; Streptophyta; Magnoliopsida; Malvales; Malvaceae.